GCCAUCUUCUCCUACACGACGCUUUCUUCUUCCUUCUACUUGAAGCUUCUGCAAUUUGACGAAAGAAACAAUAAAGAGGAUGGCCAGCCUAUGUCUUGAUUCAUGUUUUUGUUUCAAGGGAACAUGUGCUAAAACUUUAAGCUGACCUCAAAGAAAGAAACUGGACCGAGUGGAAGUAAACUGACGGCUUCAAGAGGAGUUGAAUUUGAGCUCGAGAUACUGGAGGCUGAGCAUGCUUUUGUGGCAGAUAAAGUUGGACAACUACAAGAAAAGGUGAGGC
Molecule: long non-coding RNA, 280 nt
Organism: Helianthus annuus (common sunflower)
Lineage: Eukaryota; Viridiplantae; Streptophyta; Magnoliopsida; Asterales; Asteraceae
Exons: 3
Source: RefSeq, a predicted model, not a curated record